Molecule: unclassified non-coding RNA, 337 nt
Filed under: soil metagenome
Description: partial contains 5.8S ribosomal RNA, internal transcribed spacer 2, and large subunit ribosomal RNA
Rfam family: 5.8S ribosomal RNA (bases 1-120)
Source: RNAcentral
GAUGAAGAACGCAGCGAAAUGCGAUAAGUAGUGUGAAUUGCAGAAUUCAGUGAAUCAUCGAAUCUUUGAACGCACAUUGCGCCCCUUGGUAUUCCAUGGGGCGUGCCUGUUCGAGCGUCAUUUGUACCUUCAAGCCUUGCUUGGUGUUGGGUGUUUGUCUCGCCUCUGCGCGCAGACUCGCCUCAAAACAAUUGGCAGCCGGCGUAUUGAUUUCGGAGCGCAGUACAUCUCGCGCUUUGCACUCAGAACGACGACGUCCAAAAGUACAUUUUUACACUCUUGACCUCGGAUCAGGUAGGGAUACCCGCUGAACUUAAGCAUAUCAAUAAGCGGAGGA